AUGCAGCUACACAUGCAGUUCGAGCGGCAGCCGGAGGAGAAGCUUGCUUUCCUUUGCCGGCGAAGCGGCGGACGGGUGAGUAAGGUAUGGGGAUCUGGCCGAAGGCGGGGGAUAACCACUGGAAACGGUGGCUAAUACCGCAUAAUCUCUAAGGAGCAAAGUGGGGGACCGUUCAGGCCUCACACCUUCGGAUGAACCCAUAUGAGAUUAGCUAGUAGGUGGGGUAAUGGCUCACCGCUAGGCGACGAUCUCUAGCUGGUCUGAGAGGAUGAUCAGCCACACUGGGACUCGACACACGGCCCACACUCCUACGGGAGGCAGCAGUGGGGAAUAUUGCACAAUGGGCGCAAGCCUGAUGCCAGCCAUGGCCGCGUGUAUUGAAGAAGGCCUUCGGGUUGUAAAGUACUUUCCAGUGGUGAGGAAGGUGUUAAGGUUAAUAACCUUAGCAAUUGACGUUAGCGACAGAAGAAGCCACCGGCUAACUCCGUGCCAGCAGCCGCGGUAAUACGGGAGGGGUGCGAGGCGUUAAUCGGAAUUACUGGGCGUAAAGGGCACGCAGGCGGUUUAAUUUAAGUUGGAUGGUGAAAUCCCCGGGCUUAACCUGGGAACUGGCAUCUCGAAGACUGGUUAUCUAGAGUCUUGUAGAGGAGGGGUAGAAUUCCAUGUGUAGCGGUGAAAUGCGUAGAGAUGUGGAGGAAUACCUGUGGCGAACGCGGCCCCUCUGGACAAACACUGACGCUCAUGUGCGAAAGCGUGGGGAGCAAACGAGGAUUAUAUACCCUGGUAGUCCACGCUGUAAACGAUGUCCAUUUGCGAUGUUGUGGUCAUGAACUGUCGCCUCAGGAGCUAACGCAUUAAAUCCACCGCCUGAGGGACUACGGCAGGAAGGUUACAAACUCAAAUGAAUUGACGGGGGCCCGCACAAGCGGUGGAGCAUGUGGUUUAAUUCGAUGCAACGCGAAGAACCUUACCUACUCUUGACAUCCAGCGAAUCCUUUAGAAAUAGAGGAGUGCCUUCGGGAGCUCUGAGACAGGUGCUGCAUGGCUGUCGUCAGCUCGUGUUGUGAAAUGUUGGGUUAAGUCCCGCAACGAGCGCAACCCUUAUCCUUUGUUGCCAGCGAUUCGGUCGGGAACUCAAAGGAGACUGCCGGUGAUAAACCGGAGGAAGGUGGGGAUGACGUCAAGUCAUCAUGGCCCUUACGAGUAGGGCUACACACGUGCUACAAUGGCGUAUACAGAGAGAGGCGAGCCAGCGAUGGGAAGCGGAACUCAGAAAGUACGUCGAAGUCCGGAUUGGAGUCUGCAACUCGACUCCAUGAAGUCGGAAUCGCUAGUAAUCGCGGAUCAGCAUGUUGCGGUGAAUACGUUCCCGGGCCUUGUACACACCGCCCGUCACACCAUGGGAGUGGGUUGCAAAAGUAAAGUAGGUAGCUUAACCUUCGUGGAUGGCGCUUACCACUUGGAUCUGCUGA
Molecule: ribosomal RNA, 1472 nt
Filed under: uncultured Arsenophonus sp.
Lineage: Bacteria; Pseudomonadati; Pseudomonadota; Gammaproteobacteria; Enterobacterales; Morganellaceae
Description: bacterial SSU rRNA
Rfam family: Bacterial small subunit ribosomal RNA
Source: RNAcentral